Molecule: small RNA, 87 nt
Filed under: Salmonella enterica
Lineage: Bacteria; Pseudomonadati; Pseudomonadota; Gammaproteobacteria; Enterobacterales; Enterobacteriaceae
Also listed under: 2 other names
Description: partial RtT sRNA
Rfam family: RtT RNA
About the family: This family represents a bacterial cis-regulatory element known as RtT RNA. The exact function of RtT is unknown although it is thought that it may be involved in changing the cellular response in relation to amino acid starvation.
Source: RNAcentral
AUAUCUCUCCGUACGGGAAGGAUGAGAAGCUUCGAUUAAGGUUCGAUUCGAGCGCAGCGAGAAAGCGUUGCCGCAGGCAACGACCCG